Molecule: unclassified non-coding RNA, 10176 nt
Filed under: Haliotis rufescens (red abalone)
Lineage: Eukaryota; Metazoa; Mollusca; Gastropoda; Lepetellida; Haliotidae
Description: integrin alpha-4-like, transcript variant X1
Source: RNAcentral
CGAGACUAUUACCACCGCACAUGUCACUAUACAUGGAUCGAUCUGGGCAGACAAGAAGCUAACUGGACACGUUGACACUUUUUGUAUGUAACAACACUUGGAGUUAGACUUCUUGACUCUUUUUCAGUCAGUUGGUUCAUCAACAGGUUCGAAAAUGCAAAUAUAUGGCCGUAAUCACUUAUACCAGAUGUCGUCUGCAGUUUGACACUCGCCAACAGAGCUAGACAUUCAGCCUUUGUCCGCCGAGAAGAAAUAGUGUUCAGGAUAUUCUUAGAUAAAGUAUCGUUAUCACGACAAGGUGACAAAUCAAACGAUGCUGAUGACUAAAUAGGUUUGAUAUUUGAAGCGACGGAAGCACCAGCCAAUUAUUUCCCGCUUCGCGCGCGCGGUCUCCCAGUCGAACUCAAGCGAGUAGCAGACGAUAACUCGCGCAGCUGAUUCAGUUGUAUAUCUCAGUAUAAAGCCAGGAGGGGCUCUUGUCGGAUGAUGUCGGGAGCGCCGUAAAAAGUUGAAAAGUUUGAAUCAUCUCGCGGUGUAGAUGUUUGUUAGCUUGGCUGUGUUUCAUUUCCGCUGCGAGGUCGCUUGGUAACGGUGACAUUCCAUAGCAACACGAGGUUUCAGCAUCUUGACCACACAUUCGGAUCGCGUCGACUGGUUGGUUGUUUUGAAAACUCUAUGAGAGGAAGUCUGCAGGUUGCAGUCAUUACCCCGGCACGCUCAUUCUUAAUUCGCAGAUUUAAAUAAUUCCACAAACUGGCGUCACAUCCACACAAAAACCAACUGUUUGCAACUUUUCCAAAUUUGAAACCUUCAAUGCAAAGACGUCUACGUGUUCCCUGACGAUGUGUGCCUGUGUUGGAUUUCUGCUGUCGUUCCUAGGGACGGUGACUGUGACGAACGUCAACGCCUUCAAUAUCGACACUCGUGAUCCGAAAUUUUUUUCCGGUCCUGAGGGAUCGUAUUUCGGGUACACAGUCGCAAUUCUCUCGGAGUACCUAGACUAUCACGGAUAUCAAGAAAUGUGGAUGUUGAUUGGGGCUCCUUUAGCCGACGACGCAGACCUUCCUGAACUUGACCGCCCGGGAGUGUUGUACAAGUGUUCCUGGGCAUACAACUCGUGUGAGAGAGUCAAUGUGGAUGAUUCAGGAAAUAUUCGCCAGAUCGUGCCCAAGUGGAAGAACGUCACGCUACACCACAGUAAGAACAAGCAGUGGCUUGGGGCGACGUUAGACAUCAACAUGGACGGCGACAACGGUGUCGUGGUUUGCGCCCCGAGAUGGAGGGACAGGGAGUUUUUUGUUCAAGGUCAUGAGUUCAUGAAUGGACUGUGUUACGAAGGCACCGGUCAACUGUUGUUUAACGAAAGUAGUUCCUGGCCUGUGCUGGAGUCAUUCAGGAAGCAGAUUCAUACGCAAGGACAUUAUAUGUACGGCAUGGGAGCAAUGGGGUUUUCUGCGGAGUACUCCAAGGACGGGGAGUUUCUAGUGAUGGGAUCCCCAGGACUUAACGACUGGACAGGUGGAGUUAUUCGUGUGAGCGGUGGCCAUCAAUCCAGGCCAAAGAUAUUCGAACCAUCUCGGAGGAUAUUUAAUAACUCUUACAUUGGUUACGCAAUAACGACGGCCCAUUUGUCCUCUGACGCAGUUUUCAUCAUCGCAGGGGGUCCACGUGCCGAGAACAAAGGCAAGGUGUUUAUUUACGACUACAACUUCGACGUGAUGUUGGUGCUGGAGGGACAUCAGUUUGGCAGUUACUUCGGCGCAUCUUUAUGCGCAGCCGAUUUAAAUGGCGACGGCCUUGAUGACCUUAUUGUUGGCGCGCCUUUAUUCUCAGAGGUCACGGACGAAGGUCAAGUUUAUGUCUACAUCAAUAAGGAGUUUUUCAACCUGGAACUGGAAGCCGAGUUGUCGGGCUCGAACACCCCCGCCUCCCGGUUUGGGACGACUGUAGGUAACAUCGGAGACGUCAACAGAGACGGAUAUCAGGAUAUCGCGGUGGGAGCGCCGUUCGAGGACGGCGGCAGGGGCGUGGUGUACAUCUACAACGGAGCAAAGAGUGGACUACACAAGAAAUUCUCCCAGCGUGUCGCCGCAAGGGACCUCUCGUCCCGACUGUCCAGCUUUGGCUGGAGCAUCUCCCGACCCGUCGACGUUGACAAGAACCAAUAUGUCGACGUUCUCAUCGGAGCCUUCUCGUCAGACAGUGCAGUUCUUCUUCGCACACAGCCUGUCAUAAACCUUCAGGUUACCAUGGAGAUCAGACCACGUGUCAUCCGCCCGGAUGGACAAGCGAACUGUCUGUACAGGGGGGCACCUGCUAUCUGCAUCACGGCGCGGAUCUGUGCGCAGUACGACGGCAUCAACGUCCCGGAGACACUCGAGAUCGACGUCAUCCUGAAGGUGGACACGCUGGAGAGGCACCGCAAUGUCAGAAGGAGGCUGUUCCUGCAGGACCCCGGAAGUAGCCAGGAACGGGUGUCAAUGAACAUCCCCAUGAGACUGUCAGCUGGACGCGAUAUGGACUGCAUGCCAGAGAUUGCCAUCUUCACACGGAAAAGUCGUGACGUCAUCACCCCAUUGCAGAUGGAACUAGAUCACGUGAUCAAACCGGGUACAACUGGUGUGGACAGGCACUGUGAUAUUUGUGCUGUGCUCAACAUAUAUCACCCCCAGACAUUUAAAACACAGGCGAUGUAUGACAGAAGCUGUGGAUCUAAUAAUGUGUGCAACUCCGACAUUAACCUGAUGGCUGUGGCCAGGUACUCGCAGAACGACCGCUACCUGGUGAUGGACGACUCGCCCGUGUUUGAGAUCGAGGUUGACCUCUAUAACACCGGCGAGACAGCGUAUCUCACAGUCGUGACCUUGACCUUCCCCGACAGUAUCAGCUUCAGCCGAGUCAGGAGGGUAAUGGGAAAGAAUGACGUCACGUGCCUCUCUCAGAACGAGGCUGAUACCGUGAAUGACACCGCCAGAAUAGAGUGUGAUAUUGAGAGCCCUCUGGAGAAGAACGAAGAGGUGAUCUUUAGUAUCAGGUUCUAUUCGCCUAUGUUCCAUCACGACGACCUUGAGAACUACAACUUCACCGUCGUUGCGACGACAGCCAGCGAGGACGAGGACUGGGAGAACAACCGGGUCAAUGUCAUGGUCCCUGUCAGGAUGGAGAGCAAGGUCAAGAUAUCAGACGCUUCCCUGCCAGCCCAGAUGCUGUUCUCUCUUGACCCCAAGAUCACGGAGCCUGAAUGGCAGUACGUCAAGCAUGUGUACGGCGUCAAGAACUUCGGACCCAGCCUCUACCCCCGGGGACAGAUCGUCAUCCUCUUCCCCAUGUCCGCCUACAUCGCGUACGUCAAUCAUACGGUGGACCCCCCUAUGAGCAGAUGCAGAUGGACCUACACCUCCAUCUCUUCCGGUGGGUCCAGGACAACAGCUGGACCCACGCUGUUCGCAGCCAAUGAGAGGGAAAGCUACCGUGCGGUCGAGCUGGUGUGUACAGAGAGCGGCUGCAUCAACAUCACCUGCCCUAUAAAGUCUCUGGGUGUGGAUGAACAGUUUUUUAUCACCAUCAACUACAAGGUCAAAGUAUCCAUACUGAAAGACCUUGAGGUGAAGAGGGAGUUGCGCAUCAUCUCAAGUGCUGAACUGUUCGAGCCCUAUUCCGACAAGUUUAUAUCUCUCAGCAAGGACAAGAACGCUACAGCUACGACAUAUAUUAACGCAGAGAGGGUCGGUAAAAAAGGAUUCAAAAUCUGGAUUUUAGCCGUCAGCAUUGUCAGCGGUCUUCUUCUAUUGUAUCUACUGGGGAUCAUUCUCUGGAAGUGUGGAUUUUUCCGAAGAAGGAAACGAGAGGAGUUGCAAAAACUUAUCCAGACGUCGGAAUCGGAAAAAGAGGCAUUGAACACGGUUAACCUACCGGGUCAUGACCCCGUUAAUGACGUCAUGGUACUUCCGGCGAAUAAUCAUUUCACCCCUGCGCACGAAGAUGUAAAUUUCAACAAUAAUCUGAAUAACCACUGGCCGCCGCCACACCCAGCGUUCAGCAAUGACACAUACUUAGAACCCAUCAACAUGAAGUCAUAGGGGACCAGGACUGAAUGCAUCACGUCAUCUUGAAAUGCUCAUAGGUGCAAAACGGAGACCGUCCAAUCUUGGAAGAGUUCGUCGGUUGGGGAGGACUUUAUGGUGCUUUUGAACGCUUCCACACAAAGGGACGAGAGCGGGAACGAAUUAGACUACAAGAACGAGUAAAGUGUAAAGUGCAGGAGUCUCUGAUGGCGUCCGUUUUUGUCAUGACGUCACAGCCACGUGACUAUUCUGCCAUUGACUUGACAAUCGUAAUGCUGGAGUGGCUUUAGAAGGAUUUCUUUCACAAAACAAGUUAACCAGCUUACACGUUGAUUCAGAUGUAUUUGUUCCAAGUGAAAAUGCGACACCAGUGCAAUUAUUUAUGAGAUUGAGCCUAUAUGAAAUUGUUGCCUGUUCACUUAGAUUCAACAAACUAUUAUCCAGAUCGAGGUGACCAUUAAUUAAUUCUCUUCGAACAAAUGUACAAAUGAACAGAAUAGUAAUUUGGAGUUGUCCGAAAAUUCCGGCCCGGGCGAGUACUGUUAGAAAUGACAAAAAUUGUUGGAACGUUAGUGUGUCCUUAUACAUCGUUAAUCCGGACAGUUCUACGUUCGUAGCGUCUGGACUAAAGAGGUUUCACUAUAUACAAAACAGUAAGAAAACAUUAUAUCUUAACAAGUUAUUUUUGGCUUGACUAAGAUCUAUACAUAGUCCGAUCAAAAUCGCGUUACGAAAUCGACAGCUGGUUCGUGAACUGACGUGCAUAUUUCGGUCAAAUUGCAGGAUUUGCAAAGCAUGUGUACCGUUAACUUAGAGUCAACAGUUAUUUUCCAAAUCUGUCCAUGUUUUUAAUCAAGGUGUUCACAUGAUUUGAUGCACUUCGCGUAGUAAGGAGGGACAUAGAAGGGACAUAACUUGUAAUAGCCACGAUCAAGCCCAGAAAUCCAGCCUAGCUCGGCAUGGUUGGAAACUGGACUUUUUACAACUCCCUUGCCUCGGGAAGAUGAUGCCAUGCAGAAUUACCAUGUCUUGUCAUUAUAAUAUAUAGGGCAUUUGGAGGUAUUCCUUAAACAUUAUCGCUCACACUUUUAGACUUAUUUUUCUAUCAAUCGGCCCCAGGGACGUGUAGCACUGACAGGGUGUUUUCGUUUUUUGGUGUAUUUUUGGCAAUGUGCUGAUGUGACAAAGUGAAAUAGCAUGUUUUUAAACAUUUAUAAUUCCUGUCAAUUCGAGUCAAGUAGUCUGACAGUUAAAGCAUUCGCCUGUCACGCCAUGUACCCGGAUUCGAUUCCCCUCAUGUGUACAAUAUGCGAAAGCAAUCUGGUGUCUCCGUCGUGAUACUGCGAAAAGCGGCGUAAAAUCCUCACUCACAAACUCAUAAUAUCGAGAGUUUGUGUUUGGAGAUUUCACACAUAUAUUUAGUGUAUACGUAGGAAUAUAUUAUCCAUUUUUAUGCGGAAAACAUGUUUGUACUUCAAUAAUAUUGGUAUCCUGGCAGUGCGACAAUUCCCAGCGUCACCACCCAUUAAUCAUCUGUCCAUCGUUGUUGCGUGGGAUCCCUAAUAUAUAACAUUACCACAUACCGAGAUGAAGGAUUCCAUUAAUUGUCCAUCUGAAGCUGGUUUCAUGGUUAAACGAAACCACUUGUAAAUAUCACCGUAUUGAGUUCGAAAACAAUGAAUAACUGCGGAAAUAAUUAUUUUCAAACAUUUUUGUGUGCGAAAGUUGUGACAGUCAUCUAAUUGUAUUGUUUUAUUUGUCCAUAUUGUAUUUAGCUACUGUUUUAAUUGGUUUCUUUGUUAUCUAGACAUAUACAGGUUAUUAUUUAUUUCAGGUACAUAGUCACAACAUUAUCGUAAAAUACAACCUUCGGAUCUAUUUAGAUCUUGGAGUUGAAUUGAUUUUAAGGAUAUACAAUCCCGACCAUCUUGUAAUUCAAAUGCUUUCGACUUGAUUGAAAUUGUUAUGCAAAAUUAAGCAGAAAAGCAUACUGAUUUUAGAAUAAAAUAGCAAUUUCAAACAGUUAACUUUGAAAUUAUUAACCUAAGGUCCGUUCUACAAAACUAUCCUAACCAUAAAACGAUCUUAACUCCCAUACUUUAACAUUGACGUCCGACACUUUAUGGAAGGGGCGGUCGGGUAGCCACCUGGUUAUAGGUUUCGCUCGUCACGCCGACGACCCGGGUUCGAUGCCCGACAUGGAUACAAUGUGUGAAGCCCAUUUCUGGUGUCCCCUGCCGUGAUUUUGCUGGAAUAUUGCUAAAAGCGGUGUUAAACCAACUCACUCACUCUCUUUGUGGAACGUAACCCGGAUGUAUAACGGACUGAUUCAGGGAAAUGAUUAAGUCGACCAAAAUGAACACAAAAGUAUUGAUAAGUCGAAAUAGAUUCUUUAAUACGAAGUAACAGUAUUCACCCGACAGAAUCCGGAUCGUUCUCUAAUUCUCCAAUAUCGGCACUAUGCAUGUGUCAACUACGGAUUUCGCGAGUUAAAGAUGUUUCAAGUAUAAAUGUCUAUGUACCACGUGACGACCCUGCUACGCUUUGUGUCAGUAGCAAAGACAUGUCCCUCGCUGUGUUGUUUUAUAAUACGUGCUGUUAUUUCAUAAAUCACUGUUUGAUCAUCCUCCAUUAACCAGGGUAUUUAUCUCCAUUACGAUAAGUACCCUAAAGCUGUUCGCCGCCAUAGCUUUGCUUCGGAAGUGGCGUCACCAUCUCUUAUCACCAAUAAGAGUUUCUUUCGCUCAAAAGUGUGAUUUGAUUGGACGGCUAUUUUUAGUGCCCAGUCAAUCAAACCUGAUUCAAAACGAUGUUAUGGUAUAAAAUGGAUGGACGUAUUAUUUAUCAUAAUAGAAUGUAGACAUAGUACACUGUAUACUCGAGGAUGUUAUAUGAUGGGUAUAUGGGACUUUGAAUGUUUAAUUGAGCGAGUGUGUGAACGUUAUUCAGAAAGUAUAUUUGUACAUGCCAUGCUUUAUGAGGACUGAGAAUGGAGGUGAUGUUUCAAGAGCUAUUAUUUAUUUAUAUCAUGUUGCAUAAUGACGAUCCGGAACACAUUGAUACAUACGGAUUAAUUCUAUCUAUCGUUUGUAAAAUCAGUCUUCCUUUCGGAAAUGAAAGUAUUAAAGAAACAAACAUUGACACGGAUAUUAGCCCUGCGCAUGAAACAAGAGAAAACAGUCUAGCCGACUCUUUUACAAUGAAACCUUGUUAAUCUGGACCCCCUUUCUCGCUUCUCGGUUUAUAACUGUUAGAGGCGUCUAGGUCAAUAACUGUUAGAGGCGUCUAGGUCAAUUAACUGGUUGAGGCGUCUAGGUCAAUAACUGUUAGAGGCGUCUAGGUCAAUAACUGUUAUAGGCGUCUAGGUCAAUAACUGGUUGAGGCGUCUAGGUCAAUAACUGUUGUAGGCGUCAAGGCCAACAACAGUUAGAGGCGUCUACGGCAAUAAUUGUUAGAGACGUUUUGGUCAAUAACUGUAAGAUACGUCUAGGUCAAUAACUGUUUGAGACGUCCAGGUCAAUAACUGGUUGAGGUGUCUAGGUCAAUAACUGGUUGAGAUGUCUAGGUCAAUAACUCUUAGAGGCCUCUAGGUUAUAACUGUUAGAGGUCACUUGUACUGGGAACUGUCACGUCAGGAAUACAAGGUUUCAUUGUGUAUGGAUGUGAUGUGAAUAUUAAUAGAUACUUUCCUGCUGCAAUGUUAAAUCUUGCUAUACAGGUAGUCUUAAUAGUACUGAUCUCAAAAGUGCGGGGUCGAAAUAAAUUUUAAAUAGUAUUCUUAUACAGCCAUUGUGGAUACACAAUGUACUGAUUUGACUCAUUCUUGCAUUGAUAAUUAUGAUUCAAUAUUAUGAGAACAACGACCUCACCUGAAGCUCUUUACUAGGCUAGCUCUCCAAAAAAUGCGAACUAGGCUCCGGCUCUGGGCCCCGUUCCACAAAGCGAUCCUAGCGCUACGACCAUCGUAAACCAGUGUUAAAGUAUGAGAGCCACGAUCACUUUACCGCUAAGAUGGCUUUGUGGAACGGGGUCCUGGUCUUCAUAGAAAGUCUGGGUGAUAUCCUUUCUUUCUCUUGGAUUUCAAAUUUAUGACGUAUGUAUAAUUAAAGAUAAUGAUUGGCCUAGUUACGCAGGGACUCUUUCUCCGGUCCACGCGUAAAACUGAUAUCAACAAGGACUUGGCCUAGACUGGGAAAGGGCCCACCCAAUACCUUAGGGCGCAGUUCCCCGAGCCUGGUUUCAUGGCUAGGCUGCGCUUGCGCUCUGUGUAGGGCAAGCGCAGCCUAUUCCGGGAACCAUUCUGCAGUUCCCUUUGAAACAAGAUGGGCAGAAAACCGGAUGUAGAUUCUAAUUUAACCGGAUAUAGAUUUUAAAUAAAUUAAACCAGACGAGUGUUCUACGAGAACCGGAUAUUACUCGGCUAGUGAAAUGAGUCGUGACUUGUGACUGUUUUACUCUGCGAUGUCUUGAGUAACACACAGAAUCCAUUAAUGCCGGAAUGUGGGACAUCUGGUCACCACAUUGUACCAUGAAGUUGUGCCAAAUGUGUCUUUUAUUCCCUAUAUGUAUAUAUUUGAAAUAUUUGUAAUAUAAACAUUUUGUAUUUUGAACCAUGCGUACAUGCUCCGCUGUUGUGUCAGACUCUCACAUGAAUUGUUCAUAUUUUUGAAGGUUUUACUAUAAAUGACCACGUUUCUGUAAUGAUAUUACAAUCGUAUUAUGCAUGUAUUAUUGUGACGUAAUGUUGAGGUGAAAUGGGGUUUAACGUCGCGUUCAAGAUUAUUGCACCUAUAUAGCGACGUGCAUGCACGUGUGUGGGUGGGUGCUUGUCCAGUGCGGACAAAGGCUGGUUUUAUAGUGCUAUCUCACUGAGAUACCAUGCCGCAGUUUAACAUGAAUACGCCACUCAAACACAGGAUACUGACUCCGAGCCGACCAGUCCUUGUUCAUAGAUGUUCUAUCCCCCUUUAAUGCCGAGCGCCAGGCACGGAAACAACAAGCACUAUCUUAACGUAUUUUGGCAUGACGCGGCUGGGGAUCGAAUCCUGACUUUCCCCUAUGAGGUAAUAACAUGUUUGUUGAGACCAGAGUGAAAACUAUAUACGGUGCUGUAUAUUUUGAUAAAAAGAAUAUGUGUGGUUCACAAGCACAAGCUAUAUAGUUAUCAUAGCGGAAAUAGCCGAAGAAAGGGGAGUGAGAUCCAAGUCCAACUCAUCGUGCCAUUCCGGAGCUACGGGAUGAAGAGGUUGUGAGUUAGCUUUGAUUGUAAUUACACCUUUAAGUCAUGUUCAAACAUCGCAAGUUCCCGACAUGGCUGGGUGUGGGGUAUGUAUUAUAUACACCUGGAUACAGAGAAGCACCACCCCGUUUCUUUUAUGUUGUAUCUUGUACUGCCUUGUAUCUUUUACAAAUAUCUACAUAUGAAAUUGGUCAUAUUUUGCAAAAUGUCUAAUGAACCGACUAUUUUGAUAUUCUAGAGGAGGAGAGCUGGGAUUUUGAAUGGAGAACAUUUUCUUCAACUACAGCUGCAAAACCAGAUUUCUUUUUAAAAACACAAUUAAAACUAUGGGCCUAAAUUUGUUUUCCUGAAAACACAUUGCAACAAUGUACUUUUUUGUGGCAGACAUUAUUUUACUGAAGUAAAAUAUCUUUUUAAAGAAAUGUCGGGGUAAUUAAUUUUUAUGGAUAAAAUCCCAGCCAAAAAUGUAAGGAAAGAUCAUGAAAACCGGAACGUGACAAUUUAAUUAAUUGUUUAGAAGUCGGUAGAGAAUGAAGACAUGAAAUGUUUAUGUAUAACAACUUUUCUAUACGUUUUCCGCGUCUGAGGUACCAGUUUCCUUUUAAAAGGUAAAUGACAGUCCGAAUUAAUCCCCAGCAACCCAUGCUUGCCAUAAGAGGCGACUAACGGGAUCGGGUGGUGAAGCUCGCUGACUUGGUUGAGGCAUGUCCUCGAAUACCAAAUGCGUAGAUCUUUGCCCACUAUGUCAAACACUGGAUCGUCUGGUCCAGACCGCCAUCCUAUAGCUGGAAUAUUGCUGAACGCGGCAUUAAACCAAAAAUAUAUGAAUGACAGCCAUUCACAUGUUGAGAAGCACCGACAGGUCGUUAGAAA